ACAUCCAGCGAACUUGGCAGAGAUGCCUUGGUGCCUUCGGGAACGCUGAGACAGGUGCUGCAUGGCUGUCGUCAGCUCGUGUUGUGAAAUGUUGGGUUAAGUCCCGNAACGAGCGCAACCCUUUAUCCUUUGUUGCCAGCGAUUCGGUCGGGAACUCAAAGGAGACUGCCGGUGAUAAACCGGAGGAAGGUGGGGAUGACGUCAAGUCAUCAUGGCCCUUACGAGUAGGGCUACACACGUGCUACAAUGGCGCAUACAAAGAGAAGCGACCUCGCGAGAGCAGGCGGACCUCAUAAAGUGCGUCGUAGUCCGGAUCGGAGUCUGCAACUCGACUCCGUGAAGUCGGAAUCGCUAGUAAUCGUGGAUCAGAAUGCCACGGUGAAUACGUUCCCGGGCCUUGUACACACCGCCCGUCACACCAUGGGAGUGGGUUGCAAAAGAAGUAGGUAGCUUAACCUUCGGGAGGGCGCUUACCACUUUGUGAUUCAUGACUGGGGUGAAGUCGUAACAAGGUAAGCGUAGCGAG
Molecule: ribosomal RNA, 526 nt
Filed under: uncultured bacterium
Lineage: Bacteria
Description: bacterial SSU rRNA
Rfam family: Bacterial small subunit ribosomal RNA
Source: RNAcentral